UAUGUUUAAACGUGAGGGUUGGUUUGUUCAGUGAACAUACUAUGAACUUCAACACUGUGACACCCGACAUCACCUGGCUCCUUAAUGAAACCCGCCCUGUAGUUUUCCUGGAGCUUCACGGACAGAGAAAGAGCGGGAGUUACAGAACGCUGACCCACUGAUAACCCGGCAUGGUGUGAAACACGUCACGUAGUGGCUGCAAACCCGUGUAGGCCCCUGUGCUGUCCUGGAAGUUGACUGGUGACCACAGGUGGAAAACCAACAGUAUGUUGUCACCCCAACUCAGACACCACCUCCAGGCUUGAGCUCAAGGAGAAAAUGGAAAUAGCCAACAUCGAACCGACACAGUCAAUACCACUCUCCAGAAAAGGGCUGAGAGGGACGUUCUCCGCCGAAGAGCAAGAAUGAUGGAGGGAGGAGUGGGCGAUAGCCGGAGUAUGUCAGGUUUCAUCUACCCUGUGUGACACGCAGCUCUCUGACAGCUCUGCUGCACUCGAUCCAGUCUCAAAACUCUCUCUCUCAUGCUCACACACACUUUUUUUUCUCUCCCCAUGUCGCCCUCUCUUUCUUUCAUGCACUAACCCUUCUGUCUUUUCCCUCUAUUUCCAGUUCUCACACUCUAUCUUCAUCAGUCUCUCACCCCCUCUGGGCUGCCAUUUUGCAGCAUAUGGCUCUCCCACACAAGUAAUCACACAUGCACUGCCAUAUGCGUUUGCUCAUACACCCUCACAUGCACUGUCUUUCCCUCUCCUCUCCUGUUUAUGUGCUCCUCUUCCUUCUCUGUGUAUCUUUAUUAAAAUAGCACCUAGCCAAGUCAUUCGCAUUUAAAUGAGCUAAUUAUGAAAAAGUAGGAUGGAGAAGAGGGGAUGUGAUUGGUAGGAUGACUUUGACUCUGAGAUUUCCACCGCUGUCGUUUGAUAUUUCUUCUGACCAAUUGGCUGAAAUCGCUGUCAUUCAGGCAUUCAUAAGCUGUCAGUCACUGUGAAAUGUAAUUUCCCCACACAUGAUUUGAUUUGUCAGCCUCUUCCAAUUUCUCUGCCCACUUUUGUCUCAAACAAAUGGAGCAUUGAGCUACAGGCCCUGGUACAGUUUGGUCAUCUGACCUUCAGGUGUUCCAUUGUAUGUGAAGCAGGGCAUUGUGUCAGGCCUAAAACAUGCUUAAAGUAACAUCUAACAUCUUGCACAGCGGGGUUUCCUGACAUGUUUCCUCACAGAGGAGUUGCAAAAUGUGAAACACAUGUAAUGCAUAUCACAAGGACAGUAAAAAACCCAUGCUGAAUACAUGUUUUAGGCCUCAGUCAUUACUGAUUUAAUUAAGGUUCAAAGUGUAGGCAAAGAGUAAUUGUGGUCUUAAUCUCAACAGAAUAGGAUUAAUAAUGUUACAAUCCAGAAAAAUGAGGAUUAACAUGGUGAGACCUUGAGGGGUGACAUCUGGAGCUCACGGUACAGUUUAAUAAGGUGCAGUAACCACUGGGAUGUUUCAACAAACAGCAUAUAUUUAGCAAAGAAUACAUGCUAAGGAAUUCAUGCACCCUUGGGGAAGAAAUCAAAUGUGCCUUUAAUGCAGAGCAUAAGUCAAGUAAAUUUUUUUUUCAGUCAAAAUUACAAACCAAAAAUGUACCUCAAAGGGCUUUACAAUUUGUACAGCAUACAACGUCCUCUAUUCUUAGACCCUCGUUUCUAAGACAACUGUUCACACCAGGAAACUAGAAGUAUACAGUCAUUAUGUUAAUGCAGAAGAUACUGUAUAUUUGCACAUAUACGGAUGGCUUAUGUGCAGAGAUAUCCUUACAAUAGAUAAAUAUGGUACUGUUUCUUUACAAAAAUAAGAAAAGAAAAGCAAUUUUUUUUGUCGUCUGCAUUUUCACAAAUAUGUUGUAGAAGCUGUGCAUUUCCAUUAACUAGAACAUAAGGAGUACAACUAUAUCAUUUAAUUCAGGAAUACAAAGAUUUAGCUGACCUGCUGUAAAAGGAGGAGACAUUUUCUGAAUAAUCUAUAGAAAUACAAAACAAUGCAUACAAGCUGAUCUAAAAUACGUUUUUUUCAUUUUACAUUAGACAGAAACUGCACAGUGUUCACAGUGCAGAGGAGUCACCUGUGUCUCUCCCACACAGACACAUACAGUACAUACAUAAUCAUUAGUUCUCUCUCUCUCUAAUCAGUGGAAGCUCUGCCUCGUUCUUUCCUUCUGUAAUUACAUCCCACGUACCGCAUCAAGCGGCAGAUUGAAUCCUCAUUGCUGCGCUAAACAAGUUUCAAGAGGAGAGAUUGAGAGAGAGACGGAGAGAGGGAUCUCACCCUCUUUAAUGAAUUCUGUCUGUCUCUCAGUCCUGUUGUCUCUCUGUCACUGUGUGUGUGUGUGUGUGUGUGUGUGACAGAAUGGGGUUCUUCUAUGACGGCUUGAUCAAACAAACACACACACACACACUGACACAUACACUCACGCCUGACGCCAAAUGUGUUUGAUCGCAGUAUUGUUGGUUGUGUGUUUUUAUUACCUUUGAC
This is a long non-coding RNA of Dicentrarchus labrax (European seabass), 2506 nucleotides long. RefSeq lists it as uncharacterized. The transcript has 4 exons. NCBI's taxonomy places the organism in Eukaryota, Metazoa, Chordata, Actinopteri, Moronidae. The record is from RefSeq and is a predicted model, not a curated record.